UACGUAGGGUGCAAGCGUUGUCCGGAAUUAUUGGGCGUAAAGAGCUCGUAGGCGGUCUGUCGCGUCGGCUGUGAAAACCCGGGGCUCAACCCCGGGCCUGCAGUCGAUACGGGCAGACUAGAGUGCGGUAGGGGAGACUGGAAUUCCUGGUGUAGCGGUGAAAUGCGUAGAUAUCAGGAGGAACACCGGUGGUGUAGACGGCUUACUGGACCACGACUGACACUGAGGCACGAAAGCGUGGGUAGCAAACAGG
Molecule: ribosomal RNA, 253 nt
Filed under: uncultured bacterium
Lineage: Bacteria
Description: partial 16S ribosomal RNA
Rfam family: Bacterial small subunit ribosomal RNA
Source: RNAcentral